Molecule: RNA transcript, 2454 nt
Organism: Prunus dulcis (almond)
Lineage: Eukaryota; Viridiplantae; Streptophyta; Magnoliopsida; Rosales; Rosaceae
Gene name: protein HIGH CHLOROPHYLL FLUORESCENCE PHENOTYPE 173, chloroplastic-like
Exons: 18
Source: RefSeq, a predicted model, not a curated record
ACUCAAAUAUCAGACGUCACUUUAUUAAGCAACCAGUUAGAUAAAUACUCAGAGAAGAGGCUGGAACUCUAUUUCCAAACUCUUUUUGGCAAUGGAAUUUGGUGUCAUUAAGCUAUCUUCGCCUCUGUCUUCUUCAGCUCUCAAUCUCCAGGAUUAUUCAUCACCUGUUGGUAGGAAUCAUUUUAAAAAGUCUUUACAUCCUCAGUUGCUGUCCUCUCCACUUCCUAAACCCUUUCUUCAACUUAAUGACAGACCACACAGCUUUCCCUACCAACAAAACUCUGAUCAUCUCUCCCCAAGAACGUAUCGAAGAUCCAUAUCAGCAGAAGCUGGAAAGCAGAGUUGGGACUUGGGUAGAUUUUUGAAAACAAUAUUUUUCUUCAACGAACCUCCCACUCCUGCUAAGUUCUUUGAGUUUGUAAGUGAGAAACUAUCCAGCCCAUCACCUAGUAAACCAGAAAAGAAAAUGGAAACUUCUGGCAUUGUCCUAGUGGCUGGAGCAACUGGUGGUGUAGGUCGAAGGGUGGUCGACGUCUUAAGGAAGAAAGGGCUUCCGGUCCGAGUAUUGGUUAGAAAUGAAGAGAAAGCAAGGAAAAUGUUAGGCCCGGAUGUUGACUUGAUUGUUGGAGACAUUACUAAGGAGAGUACUCUGGUUCCCGAGUACUUCAAAGGAGUGAGGAGAGUGAUUAAUGCUGUUUCUGUCAUUGUUGGUCCAAAGGAAGGUGACACUCCUGACAGGCAAAAAUACAGCCAGGGAAUCAAGUUCUUUGAACCAGAGAUCAAGGGGGAUUCGCCUGAAAAGGUGGAGUACAUUGGAAUAAGAAAUUUGAUCAAUGCUGUAAAAGGAAGCGUUGGACUUCAAGAUGGAAAACUACUAUUUGGAUUUGAAGAUAAUAAUUAUAGGGAAUUGGCUUGGGGUGCUUUAGAUGAUGUUGUGAUGGGUGGAGUGAGUGAAAGUACAUUUCAGAUUGAUCCAAACGGUGGUGAAAAUGGUGGACCAACUGGAAUUUUUAAAGGGGUUGUUUCCACUGCAAACAAUGGUGGUUUUACCAGUAUCAGAACAAAGAAUCUAUCAACAGCUGAGGAUCUCUCUGCAUAUGAUGGUUUGGAGCUGCGCCUUAAAGGUGAUGGUCGUCGCUAUAAACUAAUUGUUCGCACAAGUCGUGAUUGGGAUACUGUUGGUUACACAGCAGGCUUUGACACUGUUGGAGACCAGUGGCAGACAGUACGUGUGCCAUUUUCUUCUUUGAAGCCGAUAUUUCGAGCAAGAACCGUAUCGGAUGCACCACCUUUUGACCCCAGCAAUAUUGUAUCAUUGCAGCUCAUGUUUAGCAAGUUUGAAUUUGAUGGGAAACUGAAUCCUACUUUUGUGGAAGGGGAAUUUAAGCUCCCAUUAUCAAGCAUACGAGCAUAUCUAAAAGAGCCUAUUACUCCCAGGUUCGUACACGUCGGUUCUGCAGGAGUUACCCGACCUGACAGGCCUGGACUUGAUCUAAGUAAACAACCUCCUGCUGUUCGCUUAAACAAGGAAUUGGAUUUUAUCCUGACAUUCAAGUUGAAGGGGGAGGAUUUAAUACGGGAAAGUGGAAUACCAUAUACAAUUGUGAGGCCUUGUGCAUUAACUGAGGAGCCUGCCGGAGCAGAUCUCAUUUUUGACCAAGGAGACAAUAUAACGGGUAAGAUAUCAAGAGAGGAGGUUGCUCAGAUUUGUGUUGCUGCGUUGGAAAGCCCCUAUGCAUCUGGCAAGACAUUUGAGGUUAAAAGUGUUGUGCCAUUUAGUGAGCCAUUUACAGUGGACCCUCAAAAUCCACCCCCCGAGAAGGACUACAAUGUUUACUUUAAAACUUUGAAAGAUGGAAUUACAGGAAAGGAAAUCCUCGAACAAGAUCCUGUACCAGUGUAAUGUUUUGCACACAUAGAGCUCUAUUUUCAACCUUAACUCUGUGUAUAUACUCAUAGCAGAUGAAAAGCAGAGGCUUCUACAGAACAUACAUAAGCGACCAAGAUUAUAAACUUCUGUAGGACAAAUCCACAUGACUUAAAAUGUUUCACCUGAGACGAUAGGUUCUCACUUUCAAAAGGCUAUAGCCUUGAUCAUGAUGAGGUCCAAACCUCCUGAUUAUUUAUAGAGCACACAGAGUUUGCAGCCUCGGCAUAAAAGUGAAGAUGGAGAUCAAUGUCACAGUUUUAUAUCAAAUCAAGAAGGAAAUUCCAAUGCUGCGGCUUAUAAAACUAAGAAGGGUUCAUAGAGCAAGCACUUUCUGUACACUACAGGCAGAUUGUAGAAGCUUACAGGAAAUUGGACUAUGAUUAGCUAUGAGGGUUAUUGUAGGUCAAUUUUUCAUUAAGACAUUAGCCAUAGCAAUCAAGGCUCACGACCAAUAGAGCAAGUAUUCCGGCAUUAAGUAUACAAGUUCAAUGUAAACCAAGAGUAAUUUGACCCAAUUAGUGCGC